UUUCCGUAGGUGAACCUGCGGAAGGAUCAUUACCAAGACGUUUUUUUGCAAUGUAAAAACCUGCAAAAAACUCCCCACCCUUUGUGUACUAUAUUGUCUCUUUGGCGUUCCGUUUUCAAGGUUGAAAAGAUGCUUUGGUGUUACAGCCAGGGAGUAUUUUCUGACAUUGAGACCACUGGCAAGCAAUUGCGAGUGUGCGUCCGCCAAAGUAAUAUUCAAAACUCUUUAAUUAUAGAAUGCAGUCUGAUUACAAAAAACAAUAAAAUCAAAACUUUCAACAACGGAUCUCUUGGUUCUGGCAUCGAUGAAGAACGCAGC
RNAcentral lists this unclassified non-coding RNA (318 nucleotides) under uncultured fungus. RNAcentral's name for it is "sequence contains ITS1, 5.8S rRNA gene". The stretch from base 270 to 318 matches the Rfam family "5.8S ribosomal RNA", at positions 1 to 49 of the family's 154-position model. Lineage: Eukaryota; Fungi. The record is from RNAcentral.